CCUGGCCCUGUGCCGGCCCCGCCUGGCCGGGCCCGGGCGGGGUCUGGGUCUGGCUAGGGAGGGUGAAGUCGGUGAACUCGAACUCGGAGCCCUGCGUGUCCGCGCCGAGCAGCUCGGCCUCCUCGGUGUCCAGGAAGGGUAAAGCCUGGCCUGAAACAACGCGUACCAGAUCUGCAGCUGGCGGGCUGAAAAGACGGAGAUUGGAAAACAUCCUUGUCCUGGGAAUCUUGUGCAGCAAAAGGAGGGGGAAAAAACAAGUCCAGAGAACAGAGGAGUCACCACUUGUGCAGUGAGACUGAAUUAAUCUUGUUUCUGAGCUUUGGAGUAGAAGAAACUGUUCAGACCAAAGCAGAACGGGGAGAAAGCGUGAAAUAACAUUUGAGGAUGAAAGUGGAACCGGAGGGAGGGGAAUAAAAAAUAAAAGUCCAAAGCCAGGUGGUUGCUUGCUGCGAACACUUUUAUUUAUUAAUAAACACAGCACACUCCAAAGGCUUGGCUGCUUGACAGAAUCCUCAAAAGCCUUGGAAAGGGAUCAAAGUUCUGCUGCUCUGCCGGGUUCCUCUCCCUGUGCCUGCCACAGCUCGGGGAAUUACGGUGCCUUUAAGGACCAGCGUGGAAAACUCCCUCCCUGCCCGCAGGAGGUGGGUUUGUCCCCUGAGGGUGGCCUUGGGGACACUUUGCUGCUGCUGUCUGAGGUGCUGAAGCCGCAGGUUCCCCCACCAGGGCCCUGGGCCCGGGCAGAAGGAACUGGAAAAGCGGCUGGAAAACCAAACUGGUUGUUACUGGUGCUGUGUCUGAACCGGAGGCUGAGAUUCUCUCUGUGCCGGCGCAGGGCAGGAGAAUUUGGAUUUCGUGGUGGUUUUGCUUCAUUGCGGUUCUGGGGGCCACUUGGAAGCUUUUAGGGAUGAAGUGGAUCCACACCCAGGCUGCAUUGCUCCCAGACUGUAUUUUUUUGGUGUUUUGUGCAGUUUUCCCCCUCAAAUCCGGGCUGCUGCUGUGACUCACUGGGCUUGACUGCUGGGCAGCCGGUAUGGAAUUAAAAAAGGCAAAAACUGGCAGAAUUCCCUGAAAAUGGUGCUGACUUCCCCGUUUCCCUGCAGAUCAGGAGCUGGAAUUCACAGGCCAGAGCCACGGGAAGAGAAGAAACGUUUAAUUGGGGAUAAAUAUUCCCAGAACAAGUCACAGGGAUGUAACUCCAUGAAGGAAAAGGAAAAGGAAAAGAAGAUUUUGGUCAAAAUGCAGGGAUUUUGAAUGAAGAAAGUUCCUAGAAAUUAAGGAUGGGUCACCAAGAGAGGAGGGAUUGACAUUCCAGAGGCUGCCAGAGCUGCUCCGAUGGAAGUGGGGCCUGGUGGGAUCCCUGGAUUCUGAGCAAGGCCUGUGGCAGCACAGCAAACCCAUGGAGGAGUCUGGAAACUCUGAACUGGGGCUGUUUUCACUAAAAAUGGCAUCACUAAAAAUGGCCUUGAUUUAUGAGCAAACAGAAGUUUGCUGAGAACGGCUUCGGGAGCCUGGUCCAGAAAUCCAUGAGCCUGAUGUCAUGUGGAGAGGGCCCAA
This is a long non-coding RNA of Hirundo rustica (Barn swallow), 1554 nucleotides long. RefSeq lists it as uncharacterized. The record is from RefSeq and is a predicted model, not a curated record. Lineage: Eukaryota; Metazoa; Chordata; Aves; Passeriformes; Hirundinidae. The transcript is spliced from 4 exons.